AUUGAACGCUGGCGGCAUGCUUUACACAUGCAAGUCGAACGGCAGCGCGGGCUUCGGCCUGGCGGCGAGUGGCGAACGGGUGAGUAAUGCAUUGGAACGUGCCCAGUAGUGGGGGAUAGCCCGGCGAAAGCCGGAUUAAUACCGCAUACGACCUGAGGGUGAAAGCGGGGGACCGAAAGGCCUCGCGCUAUUGGAGCGGCCGAUGUCGGAUUAGCUAGUUGGUGGGGUAAAGGCUUACCAAGGCGACGAUCCGUAGCUGGUCUGAGAGGACGACCAGCCACACUGGGACUGAGACACGGCCCAGACUCCUACGGGAGGCAGCAGUGGGGAAUUUUGGACAAUGGGGGCAACCCUGAUCCGGCCAUGCCGCGUGCGGGAAGAAGGCCUUCGGGUUGUAAACCGCUUUUGUUCGGGAAGAAAUCCUCUGGGCUAAUACCCCGGGGGGAUGACGGUACCGGAAGAAUAAGCACCGGCUAACUACGUG
This 484-nucleotide ribosomal RNA is filed under the name uncultured bacterium. RNAcentral's name for it is "partial 16S ribosomal RNA". It matches the Rfam family "Bacterial small subunit ribosomal RNA", at positions 28 to 507 of the family's 1533-position model. The record is from RNAcentral.